UGAUAAGGAAACCCCGAGUGCCAGCACAGGCUGGCUGUCCGCCAGUGUAAAUAACUGGUGAAGAAAGGGCCGGGCAAGACCGGUGCCAGCCGCCGCGGUAAUACCGGCGGCUCGAGUGGUGGCCACUAUUACUGGGCUUAAAGGGUCCGUAGCUUGAUAUGCAAGUCUCUUGAGAAAUCCGCCAGCUUAACUGGUGGGCGUUCAGGGGAAACUGCAUUUCUAGGGACCGGGAGAGGUGAGGGGUACUUUAGGGGUAGGAGUGAAAUCCUGUAAUCCUUGGGGGACCACCUGUGGCGUAGGCGCCUCACCAGAACGGCUCCGACAGUGAGGGACGAAAGCUAGGGGAGCAAACCGGAUUAGAUACCCGGGUAGUCCCAGCCGUAAACGAUGCGCGUUAGGUGUAUCGAUGACCACGAGUCAUCGAGGUGCCGAAGGGAAACCGUGAAACGCGCCGCCUGGGAAGUACGGUCGCAAGGCUGAACUUAGAGGAAUUGGCGGGGGACAGGGCGAAUUCGUUUAAACCUGCAGGACUAGUCCCUUUAGUGAGGGUUAAUUCUGAGCUUGGCGUAAUCAUGGUCAU
This 580-nucleotide ribosomal RNA is filed under the name uncultured euryarchaeote. RNAcentral describes it as "bacterial SSU rRNA". It matches the Rfam family "Archaeal small subunit ribosomal RNA", at positions 368 to 957 of the family's 1478-position model. Lineage: Archaea; Methanobacteriati; Methanobacteriota. The record is from RNAcentral.